UGGGGAAUCUUAGACAAUGGGGGAAACCCUGAUCUAGCCAUGCCGCGUGAUCGAUGAAGGCCUUAGGGUUGUAAAGAUCUUUCAGGUGGGAAGAUAAUGACUGUACCACCAGAAGAAGCCCCGGCUAACUCCGUGCCAGCAGCCGCGGUAAUACGGAGGGGGCUAGCGUUAUUCGGAAUUACUGGGCGUAAAGCGCACGUAGGCGGACCAGAAAGUCAGAGGUGAAAGCCCGGGGCUCAACCCCGGAACUGCCUUUGAAACUCCUGGUCUUGAGGUCGAGAGAGGUGAGUGGAAUUCCGAGUGUAGAGGUGAAAUUCGUAGAUAUUCGGAGGAACACCAGUGGCGAAGGCGGCUCACUGGCUCGAUACUGACGCUGAGGUGCGAA
Molecule: ribosomal RNA, 385 nt
Filed under: uncultured bacterium
Lineage: Bacteria
Description: bacterial SSU rRNA
Rfam family: Bacterial small subunit ribosomal RNA
Source: RNAcentral